This 550-nucleotide long non-coding RNA is filed under the name Mytilus galloprovincialis (Mediterranean mussel). The record is from RNAcentral. Lineage: Eukaryota; Metazoa; Mollusca; Bivalvia; Mytilida; Mytilidae.
GUGAAUAGAAAUCAAUGAAAUUUUAACACAAGGUUUAUGACCACAAAAGGAAGGUUAGGAUUGAUUUUGGGAGUUUUGGUCCCAACAUUUUAGGAAUUAGGGGCCAAAAAGGGCCCAAAUAAGCAUUUUCUUGGUUUUCGCACUAUAACUUUAGUUUAAGUGAAUAGAAAUCUAUGAAAUUUUGACACAAGGUUUAUGACCACAAAAGGAAGGUUGGGAUUGAUUUUGGGAGUUUUGGUUCUAACAGUUUAGGAAUUAAGGGCCAAAAAAGGGCCCAAAUAAGCAUUAUUCUUGGUUUUCGCACAAUAACUUUAGUAUAAGUAAAUAGAAAUCAAUGAAAUUUUAACACAAGGUUUAUGACCACAAAAGGAAGGUUGGGAUUGAUUUUUGGAAUUGAGGUCACAACAGUUUAUGAAUUAGGGGCAAAAAGGGGCCCAAAUAAGCAUUAUUUUUGGUUUUUGCACCAUAACUUUAGUAUAAGUAAAUAGAAAUCUAUGAAAUUUAAACACAAGGUUUAUGACCAUAAAAGGAAGGUUGGGUUUGAUUUGGG